UGCUACUCUAGCUACUCCUGCCCCGGCCAUGCUCAACUUCGCUCCUGGUCAGUUGCCGCAGUGAUGUUCAUUGAUGACCUGCACUUGUACCAAUGUAUCAUGCUGCUAUUUGGCAAUUCAGUUUCACAUUGCAUGUGGAUCUUAAACUUAUACAGUAAGCUUAGUUAUUUGCAUAUGUAAAAUAUGCUGACAAAGUGUUAUGUUGGAUUACCGCCUCAUGUUGAUGGCAUUGUCUCUAAACAUUUAA
Molecule: non-coding RNA, 247 nt
Organism: Triticum urartu
Lineage: Eukaryota; Viridiplantae; Streptophyta; Magnoliopsida; Poales; Poaceae
Source: RefSeq, a predicted model, not a curated record